Long non-coding RNA from Cucumis melo (muskmelon), 406 nucleotides. RefSeq lists it as uncharacterized. The record is from RefSeq and is a predicted model, not a curated record. The transcript is spliced from 2 exons. Lineage: Eukaryota; Viridiplantae; Streptophyta; Magnoliopsida; Cucurbitales; Cucurbitaceae.
GGAGAGGAAUUUUACUAGAAUUUUGAGGCUGAAGAAGAGGAGGAGAACUCAAGCAAAGUGUAUCCAUGGCUGAAUCUUGGUUCAAUCUGCACAUCACUGGUUUUUAAUUCGGUUUGAACUCUUCAAAAGGAAUUAAGAGAAGUCAUGCCACCAUGUACUGGCAGACGACGCCGGCAGAAUCAGGACGGGAUGCAAGGUCCGACCCAAGGUCCAUCUAUAGGGGAAUCUAGUACCUAAGAGUUCGAGGUGGGGCAAGAAAUGAGCAGUUUGCGAGAACAACACAGGAAAUAGGAAGACCAGAUAGAGCAGAGCCUAGUGAUCCAGAAAAGGCAUAUGGAAUUGAACGACUAAAGAAGUUAGGGGCUACAGUGUUUGAGGGUUCCACAGAUCCAGCUGAUGAAGAGAA